AUACUUACCUGGCGUAGGGGUUACCGUGAUCAAGAAGGCGGUUCCCCCAGAGCGAGAAUCAUCCAUUGCACUGCGGAUGAGUUGACCUCUGCGAUUAUCCCUAAUGUGGAUAACUCGGACGCGUAAUUUUUGGUAGUGGGGACUGCGUACGCGCCGUCCCCC
Molecule: small nuclear RNA, 162 nt
Organism: Pieris rapae (cabbage white)
Lineage: Eukaryota; Metazoa; Arthropoda; Insecta; Lepidoptera; Pieridae
Product: U1 spliceosomal RNA
Exons: 1
Source: RefSeq, a predicted model, not a curated record